AGGAAUAGUCAAGAUAAACACCUCUAGCACUGACGGGGCAGUGCAUACUGAUCUUAGCAUCGACCAGUAAGCUUACCAGUGGUGCAAAGCUUAGCAUUACUAACACAGCUAAAUAAAUGUGAUGCGGCUGCUCUCAACGGACCACAUGCACCAUCCGUAACACCAAGUUGCUCAAUUCCUUACUGAACUAAGACUAGAGCUGUUUGUAAGCAAUCUCUAAGGAUCCACCACACGGUUUACAAAACGUUAGCACGCAGAUGCAGAUUAACAGAGCAGAAAAUAGUUCACUGGGUAUUCAAAAUUGCCGAUCAAGACAUUCUCUUGUAUGCUGGUAGCAAUUCUCUAGAAGUUGAUACCUUCAUCCUGCAACCACAAAGAGAAUACAGUUUUACUUUUAGGAAAAAUUCUUGUGAAUACUGAAGUUGUCAACUUCAUUAACCAGAUAGAUGAAAAAUACAGUAGGAUGUGCAGCAGCAGUUGUUGUGCACCACACCAUUUGCAUAAAGUGCAGACUAAGUUUGUUUAUACUCAGCUUGUAGUUAUAGUUAUAGGUUUUGUCUACGCCUAAUCAUUUCAAGUGCAACCGCUGUCACAGAAUGAUUUAAUGAGGCAAUACCCUGAUUCUGCACCUAUUUCCAAGAUUCUUAUGAGGCAAUACCCUGUUCAAGCUAAUUAUACAAAAGCGUGUAUAUAACAUAUUCAUCCUUUUUUCAGAAUCAUGCAAACCUAAUCGUCCCUUUGCUUUUUUAAAGUCUGCUCAUGAUUUUGGGAUGCUCACAGGGUUCCAGCCAAAGCUGGGGCGUCCCAAGGUCCAUAGCUAGGCUAGGCUGUCCACAAAAUGAAUGGAGGGUGUGAAUGGCUCGGGCAGAUAAAAUAUAAUGUCCAGCAGCACAGGAUGAACUGUUAUGCAACACACCACUACACAAGGUAAAGUAAUACUCCCUCCGUCCGAAAAUACUUGUCGGAGAAAUGCAUAAAAAUGAAUGUAUCUAGAACUAAAAUACAUCUAGAUACAUUCAUUCCUCCGACGAGUAUUUCCGGACGGAGGGAGUACUACAGGAAAGGAUUACACUUUACUUGCUGUCGGGUGGUAUAUGAUACAUCAUACCUGUAGUGGUGGGGCACAUAUGAUUCUGUGCAUUGAUUAGUAUUCUGGUUUGCUAUCUCGAGACUACUUUUAGUGCCUAAUGCCUAUGGUUCUUAGUUAUUACUCCCUCCGCUCCAUAAUAUAGUGCCUAUAGAUUUUUUGAGAAGUCAAACUUUGACCAAGUUUGUAGAGAAAAAUAUUUAUAUCUAUAAUAGCAAAAAUAUAUAAUGUGAAACUACAUCUUAUGAUGAAUCUAGUGAUAUAUGUUUCGCACUCUAGACGUAAAUAUUUUUCUCCACAAACUUGGUCAAAGUUUUGUGAAGUUUGACUUUUCAAAAAAUCUAUAGGCACUACAUUAUGGAACGGAGGGAGUAGUACUCGCAAUUUAUAUUUGACGAGGUGUAUACCAUGUUAAGCUAGCGGCUAUAAAAGUUUUGCUAAUUUUAUCACAUAACCUUCAGGUUACAUAUGCAGUUUCCAUAAAUAAAACCUGAUGUGUAAAUCAUUUGUUGUGCAAGUAUCUAAAUUCGUAGUGAUGGAGAUUUUCGAAGCAAAUCAAAGGCUGGCUGGCUACCUUUCCCUUUAGUGUCCCCUUAGCACAUUGAGCACUCUACUGAUGACUGGCCCAACGCUUCACCUGAAAAAAUAAAUGAAAAAUGGCGUCAAGUAAUGAUGCAGGUCAGCUUUUUGCAGCAAUGCUUCAAGGAGAAUUGGUAAAGAAUAAUCUUUCCACCCUUCUGGGAUUUUAUCAUGAUUCAGUCUGCACAUAGAGUAUCCUAUUCCUAUCUGCCACAUUCAAUCAUCUAGAGUAGGAUACAAUGUUCAUACUUUGUAUACAACAAUUAUCUGUCACUAUAAAUGUAGAUGAAGAUUUAAUAUACUUGGCUUCAGUUGUCCAAUUGUGUCAUUGUAUAAAAUACUCCCUCCGUUCCUAAAUAUAAGUCUUUUUGGAGAUUUCAAUAUGAACCACAUACGGAUGUAUAUAGAUGUAGUUUAGAGUGUAGAUUCACUCAUUUUGCUCCGUAUGUAGUCCAUAUUGGAAUAUCUAAAAAGACUUGUA
This 2147-nucleotide long non-coding RNA is filed under the name Triticum aestivum (bread wheat). RNAcentral describes it as "long non-coding RNA (TAES_LNC011472)". The stretch from base 933 to 1057 matches the Rfam family "MIR1120/MIR1122 microRNA precursor family". Lineage: Eukaryota; Viridiplantae; Streptophyta; Magnoliopsida; Poales; Poaceae. The record is from RNAcentral.